This is a non-coding RNA of Pectobacterium carotovorum subsp. carotovorum PC1, 300 nucleotides long. The record is from Rfam. Lineage: Bacteria; Pseudomonadati; Pseudomonadota; Gammaproteobacteria; Enterobacterales; Pectobacteriaceae.
AGUUGUUGUCAUGCCAUAUCUUACUGUGAUAACUCUGUAGGCAUUCGUUCGACAGAAGAUUAAUGAACAACCUAUUAUGAAAGCCCUAUCCCUAGUGAUUAGCCUAGUCGUGAUUAGCGUGGUGGUGAUUAUUAUCCCACCGUGCGGGGCUGCACUUGGACGAAGAAUGGCUUAGAAAUCAAGGCCUAAUUCAAGAAAACCCCCGCACCGAAAGGUCGGGGGUUUUUUGUUGGGCGUAAUCUAUAACGGAAAGGAACAGAAAAUGAACAUCAGCAUAAAAUUCUGUUAUUCCCAUAAGAU